This 351-nucleotide ribosomal RNA is filed under the name uncultured bacterium. RNAcentral describes it as "bacterial SSU rRNA". It matches the Rfam family "Bacterial small subunit ribosomal RNA", at positions 8 to 349 of the family's 1533-position model. The record is from RNAcentral.
AGAGUUUGAUCAUGGCUCAGGAUGAACGCUAGCUACAGGCUUAACACAUGCAAGUCGAGGGGCAUCAGUUUGGUUUUGCUUGCAAACCAAAGCUGGCGACCGGCGCACGGGUGAGUAACACGUAUCCAACCUGCCUCAUACUCGGGGAUAGCCUUUCGAAAGAAAGAUUAAUAUCCGAUAGCAUAUAUUUCCCGCAUGGGUUUUAUAUUAAGAAAUUCGGUAUGAGAUGGGGAUGCGUUCCAUUAGUUUGUUGGCGGGGUAACGGCCCACCAAGACUACGAUGGAUAGGGGUUCUGAGAGGAAGGUCCCCCANAUUGGAACUGAGACACGGUCCAAACUCCUACGGGAGCA